Molecule: ribosomal RNA, 254 nt
Filed under: uncultured bacterium
Lineage: Bacteria
Description: partial 16S ribosomal RNA
Rfam family: Bacterial small subunit ribosomal RNA
Source: RNAcentral
UACGGAGGGGGCUAGCGUUAUUCGGAAUUACUGGGCGUAAAGCGCACGUAGGCGGCUUUGUAAGUAAGAGGUGAAAGCCCGGAGCUCAACUCCGGAACUGCCUUUUAGACUGCAUCGCUUGAAUCCAGGAGAGGUGAGUGGAAUUCCGAGUGUAGAGGUGAAAUUCGUAGAUAUUCGGAAGAACACCAGUGGCGAAGGCGGCUCACUGGACUGGUAUUGACGCUGAGGUGCGAAAGCGUGGGGAGCAAACAGGG